Clupea harengus (Atlantic herring) is the source of this 3937-nucleotide long non-coding RNA. NCBI's taxonomy places the organism in Eukaryota, Metazoa, Chordata, Actinopteri, Clupeiformes, Clupeidae. The record is from Ensembl.
CACACACACACACACACACACACACACACACUUACACACACACACACACACACACACACACACACACACACACACACACACACACACACACAGACUCACUCACACACAUCAUGACCCCUUUUAAUCACACCUGGAAGUGGAGAUGAUCAAUGUUCCCCCUGACUGGUGAUGUGUAGCAAUGCUCAGAGCCCUGCUGAAUCCUGCAGCUCUCUAGUGAUUUUGAUUGUGUUGCAGCGGGUGGCUGAACUGUAUCAGAAUUGGCUGGUGAACACAGUGUUAUGACUAUUGCUAGUUAUUAUAUGCCUGACCUGUCACCACCCGUAUAUCACUGCAUUGUCUUGAUCCCACUCACCUGGAGCAGGUAAAUGUACCUGGGCCAGUAGGACAGCUGUCACCUGCUUGCCCACAAGCCACAGCAUGUUGGAGACAUUGGGGAGCAGGAUCUGGGGCCAGGUGACUCCUUGACCACAGACUCAUCAGGAGGUUCUGUAUGUCUCCAGAGUUGCUGUAGAAUCUUGUUCAAGUAGGGCUAUGCAACAAGAAGACACUUUGAAAAUAUACUUCAUCCAUUCUGUAGCUUUACCUGCUGGGUAAUCCAGAUUCAGGCUUCAGCAUGAUUGUGACCAAAUGUUUUCUAUAAAAAAAGAUGUAAAAUGAAGAAAAAAUAUAUUUUAAAAAACGUAUAACGGCACAAUGACUUAAAAGGCAGAUCCUUAGAAUACAUUUAAAAAAAUGAAUCAAAAACAGCAAGUUUAUAUAUUUGCAUGCAUCAGGUUUGCCCAUUUUGUUGAAGGAAAACAGGUGUUUAAAAGAAACAAAAAACAGUGCAGGUUAUAUUUGUAUGUGGCCUGACUGAUCAGUUACCAAGGGGUACUUGGCUAAAAGAAUGGGCAUAAAAUGUCAGCAGACGUCCUCAGAUUUAUGAUUUUGAUUUGAAGUGUAGAGCAAAUUCUUUGCAUUCAUCAUUCAUUUCAUAGUUUCCUAUGAAAUGUCUCUGUAGCUGGUCAACUGUAAUGCAUUUGUUUUGUAUGCCUUUACUCUCAUCAUCUCAACUCUUUUAAUGGCACAGUGCAUUCACAUGAACGCUUCCACACAUACACACACACACCAUCUACACCCUCUCUCUAAGUUGACCAAAUAUGAAAUCUCACCAGUUCCUCUCUGCACACUUCUUCCAGUUUUAAUGUGGCGUUUCCUCUUGAAAAAAAGUAAUGUUUGCAUGGUCUGAAAAAAUGUAUGUGCACGUUUACAUACACAUUGUUUAUCUUCGUACAUUUUGAUACAGUGUGUUAUUUAGUUUAUUUUUAAAUUACCUUUGAUAUAAAUUAUGGGGUUUGUUGAAAAAAAAACCUUUAUAUCGAUAUAUUGAAAAAAUACAGUAUUGAAAAAAAUGUGGUCAGUUCCUUCCAUGUAACAAAGUUGGAACAUACCUUAUUUUGGUUCUGCAACUGAUCGUUUGUUGCCUGAUUUAUGUUCAAUGGCCAGACUUUGAAUUCUGCUGUUGUUUUUACUUAAACAUUUUGUAGGAAGCGAAGUCCUUGAAAUUAAAAAAAAAACUAAAAAAGAAAUAAACACAAUAACGUUGACUGCUGACUCUGUUAUUGGUCGCCUCUUUGAGACAGACUGUUAUUUUGUGAAUUAGUUUUUAAGGUAUCAUGUCAGUCAUGCCGUUUAAUAAAGUACUUUUUCAGGUUAGCUGUCUUAGUUCUAGAAGUGUAGUUGUCCCAUGUAGAUUUGACUCGGUUAUUUUAUUGGCCUGCACUGGUAAUGUGGGCGGGGAUCAUCUGGGUACACUUGCUUGUGAUGAAGUUGCUGCUGGAUCAGAAGAGUGAAGACUGCGGGUGCCAGGGGUCUGGUUAUGCAUUAGCCUACUUUCUGAUAAUAGUACAAACCUACAACAAAUCUAUAUUUCGUUAAAAAAAUAUUUUGGGUAGGACAUGGUAAGAAAAAGCUGCUGUGAGUUUAGUAGUUCAUGCAUGCAUGGUGCAGAAAUAUAUUAAUAACAACGUAAAACGAGUUGGUUAGGGAUCUAAAGUAGCAGGUAAUAAUCAACUCAACAGAAAUUAGCAUCAUGUGGUUGCUUCAAGUGUCCUUUGCCAUAGCCGCCCUGCGUUCCAUUUACGCAGUUCAUAUGGAUUCCUCUGAAGUGGGUUCUGGGACACAUUACACAGAGAUUGUGAACCUCCUAGAACACAUUUCAGGGUUGGACAGCAAUAAUGUAACUCUGUCAGAAGAGGAUUCAAAGUGUCCCGUUCUUCAAAUCGGUGUGUACUCUACCCUGGCAAUGCCUGCAGCUGAGGCCUUUGGAUUAAGGUUUGCAGAGGAGUUCAGCAUCCUCGUGCAGUUGCGGAGCUCCCAGGACGUGGACCGCAGCCUGCUGACCCUGCUUAACUUCCAAAACCACAUCCUGCUGCAGCUCCGCCUCAGCCCCUACAGCCUCACCUUCAUCAGCACACAGCAGCGAGACUACGAGUUUCCGGUUUCAAUAUCUGAUUCCCAGUGGCACUAUAUCUCUAUUGGAGUGUCCUCCAAAGGGCUGACACUGUAUGUAGACUGUGUCCUGGUUGAGAGAGUGAAGUGGGUUUACCCCUACAUGGGCAUUACUACUGAAGGACUUCUGACUGUAGGUGGGAUCCUUGAAGGAUUUGAGACACCGUUUGAAGGAGAGCUGAGACAGAUGACCUUCCUGAUGGGAGACUCAGACACCGCAAAAGAUCACUGCACCCUCUACAGCACCGAGUGUGGAGUCUCAAAGGCUCCGCGGUCCACACACAAAACACAGGUCCCUAAUCUUUCCUUGAAUGUCAGUGAUCUAACAAAACAUAACACAAAAUGGGAUCUUCACACCUUAGACCUUAAGAAUGUGAGCUUUACGGUGGAGAACGACGUUGAAGCUGAUAAACCCCCAGUAAUCACUACAAAGAGUACCAGCAAAGGAACCAAUGACCGGAGAGUUCUCACCUCUAUUGAAGCUUUGAGCCAAAACACAAGCACAGACCGGAGAAAAACACAAACGGGACCUUUAGACAACAUCAUUGACCUUGAUUCACCCUCUGCCACUGAUUUAGAAAAGUCCUUACAGCACCCCACUGAAACCCAAUAUAAACAGCCUGACCGAAACGUACUGAGGACUGAGGAGGACCUCCUGCCACCCACUAUAUCAUCUGACCCUUUGAAAAAUGGACCAAAGACGGCCACAGAGGACUAUGGAGGACAGGACAGGAUCCAAGUGAUUGGCAUUGAGCACGCCACCGUGCAGCAGGCUUUUCCAAAGCAUGGAGAUAUUAUCACAGGUCUGGAUGGAAGGCCGUAUAAACUCUUGAGAGGAGCUCCAGGACCACUUGGGCCUCCCGGGCGGAGAGGAUGUGCUGGGCGUGAAGGUUUUGUUGGGUUUCAAGGUGACAAGGGCUCCCAGGGCCCAGUUGGGAGGGUCGGGUUGAGGGGGGAGCCGGGACCCCCGGGAUUUCCCGGCCUGCCGUCUCUCUAUCUGUGGCGGAACACCCCGGAGGACUGGGCGGCAUUUAGGAGAACAUCUUUUUUUCAAGCUAUUAACUCAGGAUGGCCUGUAAGUAUAACAUAAAUACCAGCAUUUACACUCGGUAUUGAAAAACACCCUAUCUUCUGUGGGUUGUGUGCUUAUUAGGACAUGUCAGUGUAAGAUAAUGGUUUAUGGUAGCUUCCUACUGUUAGCAACAUUAGCAACACACACGAGCAACAUUAGCAACACACACGAGCAACAUUAGCAGCACACACAAGCAACAUUAGCAACACAGACAAGCAACAUUAGCAGCACACACAAGCAACAUUAGCAACACAGACAAGCAACAUUAGCAGCACACACAAGCAACAUUAGCAACACACACAAGCAACAUUAGCAACACACACAAGCAACAUUAGCAACACACACAAGCAACAUUAGCAACACACACAACACAGC